Molecule: ribosomal RNA, 301 nt
Filed under: uncultured bacterium
Lineage: Bacteria
Description: partial 16S ribosomal RNA
Rfam family: Bacterial small subunit ribosomal RNA
Source: RNAcentral
CAGUAGCCGCGGUAAUACGUAGGGUGCAAGCGUUAAUCGGAAUUACUGGGCGUAAAGCGUGCGUAGGCGGUGAGUUAAGUCUGCUGUGAAAUCCCCGGGCUCAACCUGGGAAUGGCAGUGGAUACUGGCUCGCUAGAGUGUGUCAGAGGAUGGUGGAAUUCCCGGUGUAGCGGUGAAAUGCGUAGAGAUGUGGAGGAACACCGAUGGCGAAGGCAGCCCCCUGGGCCAAUACUGACGCUCAUGCACGAAAGCGUGGGGAGCAAACAGGAUUAGAUACCCGCGUAGUCCCUGUCUCUUAUAC